This 226-nucleotide non-coding RNA is filed under the name Dichanthelium oligosanthes. Its description in RNAcentral is "Bacterial large subunit ribosomal RNA". It matches the Rfam family "Bacterial large subunit ribosomal RNA", at positions 631 to 853 of the family's 2925-position model. The record is from Rfam by way of RNAcentral. Lineage: Eukaryota; Viridiplantae; Streptophyta; Magnoliopsida; Poales; Poaceae.
CAUAGGUAGUGGCUUGGUUAAGGGAAUAGAACCCACUAGAGCCGUAGCGAAAGCGAGUCUUCAUAGGGRGAUUGUCACUGCUUAUGGACCCGAACCUGGGUAAUCUAUCAAUGACUAGGAUGAAGCUCGGAUGAAACUAAGUAGAGGUCUAGACCGACUGAUGUUGAAGAAUCAGCGGAUGGGUUGUGGUUAGGGGUGAAAUGCACUCGAACCCAGAGCUAGAUGG